GGACUUCCGGCUUACGGAACGGUGGCCUUCCUCGGGAUUGGCUGGCUAGCGUCCGCAGCUUCCUCCGGCGGAGGCGGGACUUCCGGUUCCUCGUCCGGAGACGCUGCCGCUGUCCGGAAAUCCCGGAGUGGCUGAGAGGUCGUGGAGCUGGGUGAACUUUGUUUUCUGAGUAACCAGUGCUUCCGCGUUCCCAACUCUGCUGAGGAGCACUCUUGACCCAGUUGAGCGGCGACCUCCUGCAACGUCCAUCCCGCAGAACUGGCUUGAAGGACUGAGAGUGGAAAAUAUAGAUGGAAAGAAUAAGCCUAAAAUAAAAUAGUUCUCGUCUUUUUACCCUGAUAUGAAGGUUCCUCCUGCCGAAAUACGUCUAGAUUGUCAUCCCUGGAGUACUGUCACCUCCAUUCUUUUCAAAAACCCUUCAAGGAAGUGAAACUCAGCCUCCAUAGAGAAUAUAAGAGAGAUGCCUGAAUAGAAAGUAAAGAAAAGCCUCAGCUAAUUCUCCCUCCCUGGCUGUCCUAAUAAGUAGGAGAGAACACUGAUUCAGGAGGGAAAGGAAAGUACUAAUCAAAAGAAAC
This is a long non-coding RNA of Mastomys coucha (southern multimammate mouse), 575 nucleotides long. RefSeq lists it as uncharacterized. NCBI's taxonomy places the organism in Eukaryota, Metazoa, Chordata, Mammalia, Rodentia, Muridae. The transcript has 3 exons. The record is from RefSeq and is a predicted model, not a curated record.